Non-coding RNA from Corylus avellana, 830 nucleotides. The record is from RefSeq and is a predicted model, not a curated record. Lineage: Eukaryota; Viridiplantae; Streptophyta; Magnoliopsida; Fagales; Betulaceae.
UCCAUGCUUCUGCUUCCCACUUGACAAACACCAGAUCUGAGCUUCUCCCCCUAUAAAUUGACAUUAGCGAAAUCCUUUUGUUUUCACCCCCAUCUUCCAUUUUCUCUUCCCUCUUCUUCCCUCUCACCAAAGGACCGUUCUCCUGCUCUGUGCAGGUUGUGGCGAGUGUUUCAAUCUAGUUGUAAUGCUGUACUUGUGCUACUUGUACUACUCUUUUUGAAUCACCGUGGCCAGUUGUGAAGGAUAUGGCUUGCUCUCGCUAUGCGCCUGGUUCGGAGAUAGAGAAUUCUCGGUGCUUUCGUUGGCUCGCACAAGGCUAAUUGAUGCUUUGUCAAUUGGCGUCCCCUUUUCUGUGGACACUAGGUUUCCUGAAGAUGUCAAGUACGUCUGUGUCGACAAACCGCCGUUGUUUGUGCAAUUGGUUGAAGUUAUACGAGUGCUUGCAACCCCUUACAAACUGUUAACUGAGGCAGCCAUUAAAGAUUAUUUUUCUGCGAUUGUUCUCAUGCGUGAGAUGAUUCAUAAUACCAAAGUGGACAGAGAUCGUAUUGUUUUUUGUAGAAAAACUUUUGAGGCUGAGUUUCACUUGUUUUGGGAGUCGGCUUUUCGUCACCCUACGGAAUGAAGGCACCUACAAGGGUCACGACCGAGUGUGAUACUCUUUUGCCCUUUUGCUGUUCUUGCUUUGAUUUAUUUCGAAAAGUAGAGUGAUUGGGAAAUUCAUUCAUCUACCAAAUAUAGUCACAAAACUUCCCUUUGGCUCUUAAUUCGUCCUUUUUCUGAUGUUACAUUUCCUCCUGUUAUAUUUUAUCAUGUAAUUUUUAUUAAAU